UGAUAGCCAAGGAUGACUUGCCUGUGUCCUUUGUGCCGAAGGAUCAGAAAUGUGAGCCUUUGAGAUAGAUGGUUCAUAGGCAGUCUCCUUGGCUAGC
This 97-nucleotide microRNA precursor is filed under the name Sorghum bicolor (sorghum). Lineage: Eukaryota; Viridiplantae; Streptophyta; Magnoliopsida; Poales; Poaceae. The record is from RNAcentral.